This 468-nucleotide ribosomal RNA is filed under the name uncultured bacterium. RNAcentral's name for it is "partial 16S ribosomal RNA". It matches the Rfam family "Bacterial small subunit ribosomal RNA", at positions 28 to 507 of the family's 1533-position model. The record is from RNAcentral.
GACGAACGCUGGCGGCGUGCUUAACACAUGCAAGUCGAACGGAAAGGCCCUGCUUUUGUGGGGUGCUCGAGUGGCGAACGGGUGAGUAACACGUGAGUAACCUGCCCUUGACUUUGGGAUAACUUCAGGAAACUGGGGCUAAUACCGGAUAGGAGCUCCUGCUGCAUGGUGGGGGUUGGAAAGUUUCGGCGGUUGGGGAUGGACUCGCGGCUUAUCAGCUUGUUGGUGGGGUAGUGGCUUACCAAGGCUUUGACGGGUAGCCGGCCUGAGAGGGUGACCGGCCACAAUGGGACUGAGAUACGGACCAGACUCCUACGGGAGGCAGCAGGGGGGAAUAUUGCACAAUGGGCGGAAGCCUGAUGCAGCAACGCCGCGUGCGGGAUGACGGCCUUCGGGUUGUAAACCGCUUUCGCCUGUGACGAAGCGUGAGUGACGGUAAUGGGUAAAGAAGCACCGGCUAAUUACGUG